This is a non-coding RNA of Vicugna pacos (alpaca), 3086 nucleotides long. NCBI's taxonomy places the organism in Eukaryota, Metazoa, Chordata, Mammalia, Artiodactyla, Camelidae. The record is from RefSeq and is a predicted model, not a curated record.
ACUUCCUCUAGAGGGAGCUGAUUGAAGCAGGGAGCUGCCGGCACCUCUAUGAUCACCGAAGCCUUGCGGGUCCCCAGGGCCGCGCCAGGACAAGCAGAGGCUGCAUCCGGACACCAGGAAUUCACUGACGCCCGUUCUGGGAAGCCAGGCCUGGGUACCUUACCCUUGGGAGCAGCCACCGGCCUCUCAGGAUCUCCGGCCUCCACCCUGCUGAGCGAUCCCGGGCCAGGGCCAGGGCCAGGGUCCGGGCAGCUUAUGUCCAGGAAAUACACCCUCUGUGGACGCUGUACAGAGCAGACCAGAGUUGUGGCCAGAACUGGGCAAAAGAGGAAAACAGAGGCUGGAGACAGGAGAGCAAGGAGGUACAUGUGUGAGACAGGUUGGGGGGCUGGGAAGAAGGUUUCCUCAACUACCUGCCACGCAGGAAUGGGAAGAGCACAGGUGGGACUCAAACAGGGGAAGUUGCCCUGGAAAGGACACCCUCUGAGGUUCACAAACUGGAAAAUAAGUCUGAAAUGAGUGUUAAGUGGAGGAUGGACUCAUGGAAAUUCAGAUAAUCAGCCUGAUGCCUUGACUAGCUAUGUGGCCUUGGGCACUAACUUCUUUGUGCCUCACCUUUCCCACCUAUAAAAUGGGCAUGCUAGCGCUUACCCUGCCAGGUUACUGUGCUCUUUCCAUGUCCAGCCCCCCCGGGGAGUACACAUACAUACGUGGUAGAAGCAUACCACAGGCACUCAGGAAAUGUUUGCAGCUAACAGGCCUGAGCUGGAAAACAGGUGUGUUCUGACUAGCCAAGGGGAAGUGAGACCUUCAAGGACAGCCUUCAUGGGUCAUUGGCUGGAAGGUAGCAAGUCUGCGGUAAGCAUGUGCUGGGUAAGGUGCAGGAGGCCCUGGGAGCAGCAGAAGGAACCCCAGCCUCUGAAACUAGCCUCCCUGGCCCAGGAGUGGGGUGAAAUGCAACUAGAGAUCCCCUAGGGCACUAUAGCAGCACCCCUUCUCCUGGCUGAUCCCUGGGUGGGAAUUUUGGCUGCCUGGCUUUUCUCACCCCCAGUGUCCCUUGAAGAGCUGCCAGUGUAAUACUCAGCUAACACUGCCCUCCACCAGGACCUGAGGAAUGGCAUCCGGACAAGGUCCAGGUCCUCCCAGGCAGGGGUGUGGAGAACCUGAUCCCUCCUCCACUUCGGAGGAGCAGGUAGCCCGGGACACGGAGGAGGUUUUCCGCAGCUACGUUUUUUACCGCCAUCAGCAGGAGCAGGAGGCUGAGGGGGCAGCUGCGCCCACCAACCCAGAGAUGGACACCUUGCCCCUAGAACCUACCAGCACCAUGGGGCAGGUGGGUCGCCAGCUCGCCAUCAUCGGGGACGACAUCAACCGGCGCUACGACUCAGAGUUCCAGGCCAUGUUGCAGCACCUGCAGCCAACAGCAGAGAACGCCUACGAGUAUUUCACCAAGAUUGCCUCGAGAGGCCACCACCCACUCUGCUGUGAUUCUAGGACCUGUCCUAACCUCUUCUGUCCUUUUCUCUCUGCUGUCCCUCGGGCUGCCAGGCCAGCAGCAGCACCCACAGCCUGUUUGAGAGCGGCAUCAACUGGGGCCGAGUGGUGGCUCUCCUGGGCUUCGGCUACCGCCUGGCCCUACAUGUCUACCAGCGCGGCCUGACUGGCUUCCUGGGCCAGGUGACCCGGUUCGUGGCCGACUUCAUGUUGCAUCACUGCAUUGCCCGGUGGAUCGCGCAGAGGGGUGGCUGGGUGGCAGCCCUGGACUUGGGAAAUGGCCCCAUCCGGAACGUGCUGAUAGUUCUGGCCGUGGUUUUGUUGGGCCAGUUUGUGGUACGAAGGUUCUUCAAGUCAUGACUCCCAGAGGGGCCCUUGGGGAUCCUGAGACCCCUGCAUGGACUUCGGCCCAGCCUUCUCCCCUCACCUCUUCCCCUGCCGGGGUUCCCCUCAUUAAGAGUACAGAAGCUUUAGCAAGUCGACACUUCAACUUUGGAGGGCCCCUGCCCAGAGAUCUGUCAGGCUGCAGGCUGCCCCAACAUUGCAUGGUGCUAAUAGGCCCCCUCUCAGAGAGGGGCUGUGGCCUCCUCCCUUAGCUCUCUGGGACCCCCUGUGCCCUGUCUGCUGGGCACUGGGGACAUUGAUAACUUGGGGACACAAGAGGCUGGGAGCCACUUCUCCCCAAGGAAUUAUCAACAGUUUUAGCUUUUUAUAAUACCCUUGGGAGGACGCACCCACCCCAGCCCCAUUCCUACCACUCUGCCCAAGGCCAGGAUGUCUGGGGUGUGGGGGUUAGUAGCCCUCCCCCUCCCCAGGAUUCAGCUAUUCUGGAAGGUAAGAGCUUGAGAACUGGGCCUGGAACCCAGUCCUGGCACUUCCUAAGCAUCAUGUCCCCCAGGGCAGGACUGGUGGGGACAAGGUCCUGCCCAGCUUCCUCUCCCUCACAUUCCUCCCCCACCAUUGCCUUUCAGUUGGACUCUCAGGGAUUCUAGGGUAUGAGUGGAGUCAGGGUGCAGACCAGAGCUGCCUGAAAUUAUUCAUCAGCACCUGCCAAGCCUGCCUUCUGAGAUCCUCCUCUUCCCCCUUCCCCUCACCUAUUACCACUUGCUCCUGCUCCAUUCACUACCAGUGAAGCUCGCCCCACCCCAUCACUCCAGAUAAGGAAGGUGGGGGUCUUGGGUGAGUGGGGUGCUGACAUUAUGGUUUAGGACUGUGGUUUGUUAUUGUCAGGGAAAAGGGGUAGGGAGCUCAUCCUGAGGUUUCUGAGUGAGAAAAGGGCUAUUAACACCACUAUGAACCCCAGGAUUGGGACCCUUCCUCAUGGCCUGGGCACAGUGUAAUCUGGGGGUAUGGAUGGAGAACUGUGAAUACUUGAACUCUACCCCCCUAGUGGAGUCUCUACACUCCACACCUACCUAAGCCCCUCCUGUGAGUGGGGUAGGAGUGCCUCAUCUAUCUUGCACAGCCUAGGGGUUUGGAGGUCAGGGGAGAGUUCUUAAUUAAGCCAAGAGCUGGGAGGGGAUGCAGGCAGAGCCGGCUGACCACCUCCCACCCUUUGAGUGUGUCUGAAAAUAAACUGCAAUCCCCCCAUU